AAAUGCAAUAAUUGUAAUUCGCUCUGGAUAAGAGCGCCUGCUAAAUGACUAAAA
Molecule: non-coding RNA, 54 nt
Organism: Salmo salar (Atlantic salmon)
Lineage: Eukaryota; Metazoa; Chordata; Actinopteri; Salmoniformes; Salmonidae
Source: Rfam